This is a long non-coding RNA of Acipenser ruthenus (sterlet), 6886 nucleotides long. RefSeq lists it as uncharacterized. The record is from RefSeq and is a predicted model, not a curated record. NCBI's taxonomy places the organism in Eukaryota, Metazoa, Chordata, Actinopteri, Acipenseriformes, Acipenseridae. The transcript is spliced from 4 exons.
UUUCAACUCUGCUCUGUGAUUUAAGUUGUUUUGCAGUAAAUUCUUGUACCAUAGCUCUAUGUUGUGAUUGCUCUGUAUCAACAGCAGGGGGCACUGUCUGGCACAGUAUUGACCUGCCCACCUGAGUAAUACACUGUAAGAUUUUGCUGCUGGAGAAAUCAGAUAGUCAAUGCUCUUUGAUUGUCUACUUUAUUACAAGAAAGCCAAGUAGAAACACAUCUAAAAUCUUUUAAACGCUUUGCCAGUAAGGCAACUUUUAAACUAGAUAGAUGCCUCAGUGAGUGAGUAACAUUUUAAAUACCUUGUUCUCUGUAUUCACUCUAUAUGUAUUAACCCUGUAUUGACUGGUGUUGCUUUCAGAUGACAUGUUAGUUUAAUGAUCUUCUCUUUUUGCAGGAGAGAUUGAAUACGGCAGGAAGCUUCUCAAAAGGUAAUUUAUUGGGACACUUGCCCGACGCUCUUAGCAUACUAAUACUGGGUAUUAGGGUACCAUAUUAUUUACUACACCUUCUGAUGCUUUUAACAGGCUAAGCUUUUAUAAUGAAAACAAAACCUUUAAAAUCAACUCUAAUAUAUUGAAACACCAGAUUCUGGACUAGAGGGCAUUAUCUUCUUGUAGUUGACUGAAGGUAAGACUGUGCUGUACGGACCAUGUGAACUAAUAAGAUAAUGCCCUUUAGUCAGGGUUUUAGAAACUGUUAACCAGUGCUUUUAUUGCUGUUUUAAACAUGUACAUCUUUAAAUUACAGAUUUAAUUAGCUUUUCAAAGUGCUUUCCCUUUGUUUUUUAAGAUGUUCUAUGUGAAUGUUCCAUGACCAUCUCCCCUGAGCUAGUCCUUGCUAAUGAAAAUGUGCAAUCCUUUUCCCCUGGGUGCUCUGCAUCUCAUUUCUGUGUGUUUGUGUUGCACUCAGAUGAGUUGGGUGACUCGCUGGACAUGAAGAGCUUGCUGUUGCACUGUCUUAUGAUGUGUGAGUCAGAUAACGAAAAAAAAGAGAGAGCACAAAAUCCAAUGCAAUACAAUACGAUACCAUACCUGUACAGUAGAAAGAGGUAGUAGGUUUAAGGCUUUAGGGCGCUAGUGGUAUACCCCCUGACACAGACUGCUUUUAAACUACAGUGAAACCUGCUUUAACACCAGCGCAUGCACUGGCAUAGAGACACCACUCUAAGCAGAGUGCAGCUGCUGCUCACACAGGCUCUAACGCAGACAUGACUUGCAGUACACUUUAGUGAUCACGCACUGCACUUCACAGCGUGCAUGUUUGCUUGCCUCUCAGUGAAGGCGGGUUGGUUCAUUUGAAGCCCCAGAUACAACAGAGGAGUGGGAGCCCCACCUGCACUGCCUGUAAUCACCCCAGCCUUUGAAACCUGGCGCUCACUGUGGCUGCCUGCCCCUGGGCUCUGUUAGACAUGUAGAGCGUGCCGCUGUCAGGGUGGGGUGGGGCGUAGUAUAUAACAAGGCUUUACUGAAGCGUCUUCUUUUUCAAGGCUGCCCCCAAAUGCAUCAGACUCUGUUCCUAAAGGGAGCUUCAGUUCCUAUGCCAAUAAUCAAAAUGACAGAGGCUAAGAAAAAUCACUCCGCUCAGCACAGCAGGCUGGUUUGCAGAGACCCGGUCAAACUAUUUCAUGAGUUUUAGGAGGGUUGUAUUAGUGCUGAAAGUUCGUUUUUGUUCAGGGACACAUUGACAGCAUGUCAAAGGUAGCUGUGAUGCACGGAGCCUGUUCAUCGUGUUGUUCCUCCUCUCCUCUCCUCUCCCUCCAGGCGAUCGAGUCCCUCACUCAGACGGUUCUGAAGCUGGAGAAGGACCGGGAGCUGCAGCAGCACCGCAUACAGACACUAGAGGGUCAGGCCCCACGACUUCUAUUGAUCUCUUUCAUUGUGUUUGCUUAGCUCAAUUUAGAAAUACUCAAAGAAACGUAAUAAGUUCAACGACUGGCAGUCUUUCUCCAUGUCUUCAGUAUUGAAAUAAGAUGGAAAUGAGAUUCCUAUUGCAUAGCAUUUUCACCCAUUCUGGUUUUUAAUACGAGCUUGAUUAGCCCUGGUGUAUAGGUAAGAAGCUCAGGUGUGUCUUAUUAAACUCAUAGUGAAAUGGAAUGGAUCAAACUGCUAUGCAAUGGGAGUCUUAUUUGCAUCCCUGAUGCACUCCAGCCUCCCAGGUGGUAAAGCAUGGCGGAUCUCCUAAUGGUGUGGGGGCUGAUGUUGCAAUUUAUCAGUUAACCUUGCAGGAUGUGUGAGUGGCGCUAGUCACAGCGGAUCACGUAGGCACGGAAGAAACCAAACUCAAAAACGAAGAUAAGACUGUUGCACAUGCUCAGCUUCGCUGUGCUCUCCUGGGGUUGCAGAGGAGGUGCGCAGGUUGCGGACUCGCGGGGAGGAGGAGCAGCGCAGGAGUCCAGAGUGGCGGCUGGAGAGGAGAGUAGAGGAGUGGAAGAAGGAGGUGACCAGCGAGCUGUACAGCCUGAGAGCUCAGCUACAGAGAGAGGCAGAGAGAGCCGGCAGCCAGGGGCAGCAGGAGAUACAGGACAGCAAGAAGCUGCUGCGUGAGGAGUGCGAGACGCUGAGGAGAGAGGUUGAGCACAUUAAACUACAGCUGAGUAAGUGACCCUCCACCUGUAUCCGCUCACAUCCAGCCACAGAGGGCAGCUUCCUCAUCAGAACGCUGCUUUCAGAUUGCGCAGCUUAAUGCCCAGUACCUGUUGAGAACACUUUACAGAGCUGUUAAUUAGCAGCAUGGGGGGGACUGAUGGAAGGGGAGUCAUGCACUGCGGAUGGGUUUUAUAUCACUUUGGGAGCUGUACACACACACGCAUGCACGCACGCACACACACACACACACACAGCACCCUGAUCCAGAAUAGGUGCUCCCUUGUGCCUCAGAUGCGAAGAAGGUUUGAAUGAGAAAACAUUUAACAAGGCAACUGAAAAGAGGCUCCUUCCAGGUGUCAGACACUUCAUCCAUGCUUAUUUCAACAACAAGACCGUUUCCUUUUGAUGCUUAGUUUGGUUUGUCAGCCAUUAAUUUGCACCGUUAGUCACACUUUAACUGUUUAAUUGCUGAACAGCUUUCUUCUUUGAAGUUUUUUCUGCCAUUACCCUCAGGCUGCCUUUCUUUAUUAGUAUUUGUAUAGCCACAGGAGGUCCAAUAGACACUUUUCAAAGAGAGUGGGCUGGCAACUUUCACCCACGUUGCAGUCAAAUUAUUCAUCAAGAAUAAUGAGUAAACAUCAGUGUGAUUGCCUGGGGUGUGUAAUCUCAGCUGUGUUCCAGGUGCAGCAGUCUUUGAACCACCUGCACUGUUCACUGCAGGAGCAUGUCAUUCCUGAUCAUAGCUUUGUGCUGCAUGUUAGUGUCCAUGCUUCUUUUCAGAUUGCUGUUAACAAUGAAGGUUUGCUACUGUGCUGUAGUCCUGUGCACCAGGGCCCAGAUGGUUUUGAUAAUGUAAACAGCAUUGAAUAAAUACCUCCUCUCUUCAGCUCUGUAGUAACCCUACUGUUGUUUACUUACUGCAGGUCUGCGAUACAGCAGGGUUACAAGCUUAAGGUUCAGCACUACUAAGAUCCAACGAUCCAUCAAAAAUGCUCUACAGUUCUAACAAACAUUUUGACGAGGAGUCUUGAUCAAUGUAUUUCUGUAUGUUCUUGUGUGCUGUUUAGAUCAUAUAUUGCUAUAUACUGUGUAGACCAUAUGUCAUUAUAUAAGUUAGGGGGAUACAUCAAAGUCUUUUGCUCUCAGUGUUGCUCUCAGUCCGGUGAAAGGUGUUUCAGAGCUCUUUGAAUGUCCUGAGCUUUUGAACAAGAUUUCUGAAACCAGGGAGAUGAAACGAUCGCAGGAGAGGAACAGCAAGACCCUGGAAGGGCUGACAGAUGGGUAUCGGUCUCACUCCGUAGACCUGAAUAAAGUGCUCUCCAAUCACCACUACACUGAGCAGGAGUUCAAACACAUCAGAUCAUCAGUCAUGGAUCUGAAGGAAGAAGUGAGAAGCCUGAAGCGGAGUGUCGGCAGACUGGAUCAGAGCAGCACGCUGACAGCGAUAAAUAUUUAUUUUUGUGUUUAGUGUUUGUUUUUUUUGCCAAGGUGGCCAGUUACAUUAGCAGAACGCUGAGAGUGUUAUUUGAAGCGCUGCUCUGCUGUAGGGUAGAUUGGCUGGGAUUGAGAAUGCUGCUGCUACAGGACACCCAGGCUGUGGAAACAGUUGUUUGAUUCCAGUCUGAACAAACAUAGCGUUAGCAGGUCGGGACACAACAAAGCCAGACGGGAACGAGAUAAUUCAGUGCUAAAGAGGCUGCUCGUUUUGUGAUCAAACACAGCUGCCUCCCCGCAAUCCUGCACCAGGGCUGGGGAGGCUGCAAGGCUUCAGCAGGGGAUUAGACAGCUGUGUGCAGAUCAGCUCUGUGAGUGGGGAGGGGUGGGCAGCACUGCCAGCGUCAGUGGGGAAGGCAGCUGCUUCACUUUUCAUCUGAUUCCAGGUUGAGUGCAGUCGCAGUUCUGAUUCACAAGGGAGGAAUACCGGAGAUUCUGACCCUAGAAAAACGAAAAGAAACAUUUCGGCUGGAUGUCUUUCUCAAUGCCUUCAAUGAAAGACUGCCACUGAGUGUUAAAUGGUUUAGGGGUGAGAUAUUAAGCCUGAUCAUUUGAACAGAGGUGGGCCCUUCUCUCCAGUCUGUCUUGCAAUGAGAGAGAGAGAGAGCGGAAUCACUUCUGACGAAUAAGGAUUUUUAAAUUCCAAACCUUGACCAACACUGAACCGAUAAGUCUACAUUUUAUUUAUUUUUUUGUAGCAGUUUGAAAUGGCCAAUUUUGUGAGGGUUUGCAGUGAGGCAAGCUAUCCCCAGUGGAUUUGUCUCCCCAGUCAUGCAGGAAUGUAAAGGUCAAUGCAGCGCUCCCUGUGGGCCCCCCAGAGAAGAUCUUGAACUUGCUGUGAGUGGGAUUAAAACCGCGCUGGCAUGACUCGCACUGCGUUCCAAGCGCCAGUGCUUUCACUAGAUGCGCCCCUGAAAACCUAUAAAAUUAUGUCUUUCGUCAAAACGUAUACUGGCAUAUAUUUUUUGAUAAUUGCCUUGGAUUUUCAACUUGAUUAGGGCUGCAAUACUGUUUGCAGAUCAGUCAUUGAUCGGCUCACAGGACUGCCAAACCCACCUUUGAUGUGCGUCCAAACGCUGUCUGUGUAUGAACAGCUAGGCAGUGUGGGUGAGAGCUUGCCUUCAUUCCCCCAGGGGCCUUCUCAAAGCUUACUCAGCUCUGCAAUUAGAGCAAUCACUAGAUGACUGCCUGUGCUAACUAGUGGCAGUAAGUGGGUUAUGGCUUCCCCUUUUUUCCCUUCUUUUUUUAAUGAAACCUUGACAGUGAACCAUUGUGUAGAGUGGACAUGAACACUUAGUGUUGGGUUCUUUAAACGACAGCUCCAUCAUUUUCUAUAAACUUUGCAGAUCCUGUAUAUAUUGAAAUUAGUGUUGGGUUUUUAUUAGAAGUCCUACAUGGUAUUUUAUUUUAUAUUUUACAUUAAAACAGUUGGAAGAUUAAAUUGUCUAAGUGAAGUCUUUAAUUAUGAAAACAUGUUAAUGUUGCUUGUGAAGACUUUUUUUUAUUAGAAUAUGUUUUGUUAUCCUUUUGUGAAGCUAGACACACAUAUACAUAUAGGAGGCUGUGUGGUCCAGUGGUUAAAGAAAAGGGCUUGUAACCAGGAGGUCCCCGGUUCUAAUCCCACCUCAGCCAUUGACUCAUUGUGUGACCCUGAGCAAGCCACUUAACCUCCUUGUGCUCCGUCUUUCGGGUGAGACGUAAUUGUAAGUGAUUCUGCAGCUGAUGCAUAGUUCACACACCCUAGUCUCUGUAAGUCACCUUGGAUAAAGGCGUCUGCUAAAUAAACACAUAAUAUACAGUGUUUGAAGGUUUUCCUGAGUUUUAAGAACACACAAUUAUAAAAAUGAAUGUUUUAUUGGCUCUUCGUGGAGGUUUACUGCUUACCCCAGCGCUGCCCCAGGCUUGUUAAGCUGUGCGUUUCCUGCCUGUAAAACUCCUGUGCCAAUUCAAACAGACAGCUAGCUUUCUUUAUUCUCUUCUGUGAGAAAUUCAGACUGGUGAUGCAACAGCUGCUCUAAAACACUGACAUCGCCUGACGGUUCUUUGACAAAUAUUAGAAAAAUCGAUCCAGCACUACUUGAAAUGUAGCAUGUAAUAAUGUUAGUUAAAUAUUUUUUUUUAAUAGUUGCCUAAAAUUCCUGUUGGAUUUUAUUCUAGAGUCCAAGUAUGCCACCGGACUAAACUCUGAGCUGGAAGGAAGUGACAUUGGUGAAACAGGAAGUGACCUGGAAGAUGACAGUGAUGUUGCCAGCUUUGCUGCCCACCCGGACGAGUUAUCAGACAGCCCCUGUGAACUUAAUCUGUGACCUUUAGCCUCCCAUUGACAUGACUUGAGUCUCAGAGGACAAUGUGGAGCGGCUUCACAACUCCAUGCAGCAGGACUGAUGUUCCAGCUCGAAGGAUCUGUUUAUUCUGACUGGGGGGUCUGUGUAGGUGCUUGUGAGGGAGGUGGUCCAGGCACCGCAUCUCAUGACUGCUCACAUCCUGUCUCUGUGCUCACAGAGAGCUGGGGUGGGGGAUGGCACAGCCUUAUUUUGGGGUAUUUUCACAGCAAAACAUAGGAUAGAGAUUAAAGGCAGCUUUCACACACACUGAGACACUUCAGAAACAGUUCCUGGAAUAGAUAGUCCAUUGUGUCCCUUGUCAUGCGGCUUUUUAUUUGAGCUGCUGGCAUGUUCUGUUCUGUUUUAGUUUUUUUGCUUUUUUUUCCUGCAAGCAGCUACCCAAUGAAAAACUAAAAUAAAAACAGAAGCACAGCCAUGUGGUGUUUGCUUGCUUUAUUUUUUAUGCUUCACCCCCCUUCCU